This 1131-nucleotide ribosomal RNA is filed under the name Triticum aestivum (bread wheat). RNAcentral's name for it is "partial small subunit ribosomal RNA". Lineage: Eukaryota; Viridiplantae; Streptophyta; Magnoliopsida; Poales; Poaceae. The record is from RNAcentral.
AUGGACACGCCCGUGCCGAAACGGCCUCGCCUCGUGCCAGCACCGGCACCGGCGCCUCGGACAAUCGCCGACAUGGCCCCGGAGAUCCUCCUCCGCCUCCCUCCAGACGACCCCGCGCGCCUUAUGCGCGCCUCCCUCGUCUGCUGGCGCUGGCGCCGCCUCCUCACCGACCCGGCGUACCUCCGCCGCUACCGCGCAUUCCAUCGAACACCUCCCAUGCUCGGCUUCGUCCUCAACCUGAAGCAGCACUACCAAGGCAUGGCCCAGCUCGUCCCCACCUCCUCUUUCUGCCCCGCCGCCUCUGACCGCCCCGGCCUGAAUGUGCUGGACGCCCGCCACGGCCGCGUGCUCCUCCACACCGCUCAGGGCCAGCGCCUCGUCGUCUGGGACCCCGUCACGGGUGAAGAGUGCAAGAUCCCUCGCGUGCCGGCCUACGCGCUCGGCUUCAACGCGGCCGUGCUCUGCGCCGCGGUCGGCUGCGACCACCUCGACUGUCAUGGCGGACCCUUCCGUGUCGCCUUCGUGGGAUGCGGCGAACGCGGCAUCACGUUCGCCUGCACCUACUCGUCGGAGGCCGGUGCCUGGAGCCAGCGAAUUGAGGUCGAGCAGCCGGCGUUUGUUGACAGGCGACCGAGCGUCCUUGUGGGGAACAUGCUCUACUUCACCUGCGAUCCAUACCUCAAUUUCAAAAUGUUGGGGUACGACAUCGUCAGGCAGGAGCUGUCGGUGAUCUGGCCGCCGUCCCAGCACGAGUACUACUCUUGCACUGUCCUCGUGAAAGCGGAGGAUGGCAAGCUGGGGUUCGCCGGCGUGCGGAAUGGCACGCUCUACCUCUGGUCGAUGAAGGACGGCACCGACGGGAAUGUGGAAUGGGUGCAGCGCAGAGUUAUCCAGCACAAGACGAUGCUCCGCACUCGUGGCCUCUCGACACCACCUGAGGUCGUUGGCUUCGCGGACGGCCACGGACUCAUUUUCAUUAGGACAGGCAACACGGUGUUCUCCAUGGAUCUCAAGUCAGGCCAUGUCCGUAAGGUAUACACCUGCAGGUCAAGAAACUACGACGUCACCGUUGUUCCCUACAUGAGCUUCUGCACUCCAGAUCGUGCUAUGGGCAGACUGCCAUCGCCAUGA